Molecule: ribosomal RNA, 158 nt
Filed under: Metarhizium anisopliae
Lineage: Eukaryota; Fungi; Ascomycota; Sordariomycetes; Hypocreales; Clavicipitaceae
Description: 5.8S ribosomal RNA
Rfam family: 5.8S ribosomal RNA
About the family: 5.8S ribosomal RNA (5.8S rRNA) is a component of the large subunit of the eukaryotic ribosome. It is transcribed by RNA polymerase I as part of the 45S precursor that also contains 18S and 28S rRNA.
Source: RNAcentral
ACAACGGAUCUCUUGGUUCUGGCAUCGAUGAAGAACGCAGCGAAAUGCGAUAAGUAAUGUGAAUUGCAGAAUUCAGUGAAUCAUCGAAUCUUUGAACGCACAUUGCGCCCGUCAGUAUUCUGGCGGGCAUGCCUGUUCGAGCGUCAUUACGCCCCUCA